This 463-nucleotide ribosomal RNA is filed under the name uncultured bacterium. RNAcentral describes it as "partial 16S ribosomal RNA". It matches the Rfam family "Bacterial small subunit ribosomal RNA", at positions 28 to 507 of the family's 1533-position model. The record is from RNAcentral.
GAUGAACGCUGACAGAAUGCUUAACACAUGCAAGUCUUUGGUGAAGCUGUGCUUGCACAGCCUAGCCAAGGCGGACGGGUGAGUAACGCGUAAGGAACUUGCCCUGCAGUCAGGGAUAACAGACGGAAACGACUGAUAAGACCUGGUAAAGUCAGGCGGACUCAUGUCCAGUCUGAUGGAAAGAGAUGCUGCAGGAGAGCCUUGCGUCCUAUUAGCUUGUUGGUGGGGUAACGGCCCACCAAGGCAAUGAUAGGUAGCCGGCCUGAGAGGGUGGACGGCCACAAGGGGACUGAGAUACGGCACUUACUCCUACGGGAGGCAGCAGUGGGGAAUAUUGGACAAUGGGGGCAACCCUGAUCCAGCAAUUCUGUGUGCACGAUGAAGGUUUUCGGAUUGUAAAGUGCUUUCAGCAGGGAAGAAAAAAAUGACGGUACCUGCAGAAGAAGCGACGGCUAAAUACGUG